AAUGAACGCUGGCGGCAGGCCUAAAACAUGCAAGUCGAACGCUGUAGCAAUACAGAGUGGCGCACGGGUGAGUAACAUGUGGGAAUAUGCCUUUUGGUACGGAACAACUUUUGGAAACGAAAGCUAAUACCGUAUGGUCCCUUCGGGGUAAAGAUUUAUCGCCAAAAGAUUAGCCCGCACUAGAUUAGCUAGUUGGUGAGGUAACGGCUCACCAAGGCGACGAUCUAUAGCUGUUCUGAGAGGAAGAUCAGCCACACUGGGACUGAGACACGGCCCAGACUCCUACGGGAGGCAGCAGUUAGGAAUAUUGGACAAUGGGCGCAAGCCUGAUCCAGCCAUGCCGCGUGAACGAUGAAGGCCUUCGGGUUGUAAAGUUCUUUAGCCGAUGAUUAUAAUGACUGUAGUCGGAAAAUAAGCCCCGGCUAACUUCGUGCCAGCAGCCGCCGUAA
RNAcentral lists this ribosomal RNA (449 nucleotides) under uncultured bacterium. RNAcentral's name for it is "partial 16S ribosomal RNA". It matches the Rfam family "Bacterial small subunit ribosomal RNA", at positions 29 to 523 of the family's 1533-position model. The record is from RNAcentral.